GGCCAUGACCCCAGACUGUAUUUCUGCAUCCACAAAGGCUCAUCAAGAUGUUCUGCUAAUCAAAGACUUGCUUCUCCUCUAAAAGGAGUUUUCUUGUUUUUAAAAAACAGCUUUUCCCCCCUUAUUACAUCAGAAUUAUAGGAGGGUAAGACUGGCACAGUGUGGCCUAAUGCUACCCGGCAGCCCCUUCUGCCACGCAUGAAAAAACCUUACCUGAAAAUGAAACCAACACAAGGAAAGUAAAGGAAUCAGAUCUGGAUUGGAGAUGUCUCCAGGAUUUCCUGGUUCUCGUACAUGGGAAACAGUAUUUGGCGAACGCCAUCCAGGCACAUCAUAAUAUUAUGGCUUCAGUUGAUUAACCUGUUGUUUGGCUAAAGCACUUUGCCUUUGUUCUUAAGGAAGCAAACUGCUGUUUCACUUCCCUGAAGCCCCUGAUAAUACCAUACAAGAACAUCAGAGAAAAAAUGAAUCCAAGAUAGGUGCCAUCCCCAGGGGAACAGAACACUUCUUUGUUUUAUAUUUCCAUUGGAAAUCUGGAGAUUUUGCAUGCAAACGUCUUAUUUCAUGGCA
This 570-nucleotide long non-coding RNA is filed under the name Capra hircus (goat). Its description in RNAcentral is "lncRNA (ENSCHIG00000007299.1)". The record is from RNAcentral. Lineage: Eukaryota; Metazoa; Chordata; Mammalia; Artiodactyla; Bovidae.